This 253-nucleotide ribosomal RNA is filed under the name uncultured bacterium. RNAcentral describes it as "partial 16S ribosomal RNA". It matches the Rfam family "Bacterial small subunit ribosomal RNA", at positions 524 to 776 of the family's 1533-position model. The record is from RNAcentral.
UACGUAGGGUGCGAGCGUUGUCCGGAAUUAUUGGGCGUAAAGGGCUCGUAGGCGGUUUGUCGCGUCGGGAGUGAAAACUCAGGGCUUAACCCUGAGCCUGCUUCCGAUACGGGCAGACUAGAGGUAUGCAGGGGAGAACGGAAUUCCUGGUGUAGCGGUGAAAUGCGCAGAUAUCAGGAGGAACACCGGUGGCGAAGGCGGUUCUCUGGGCAUUACCUGACGCUGAGGAGCGAAAGCUAGGGGAGCAAACGGG